This 201-nucleotide long non-coding RNA is filed under the name Elaeis guineensis (African oil palm). RNAcentral's name for it is "long non-coding RNA (EGUI_LNC034183)". Lineage: Eukaryota; Viridiplantae; Streptophyta; Magnoliopsida; Arecales; Arecaceae. The record is from RNAcentral.
GGCCCAACAAGGGACAAGUUAUUAGCGCAUGAUCCAUAUCCUCAUAUGAACCAGGACAUAAAUCACAUGAAAUCAUGGUCUCAUUUAUAAUUCUCCUUCUUACUAAUAGAUCUUUACUAGGCAACCUUUUCCACAAUAUUUUCCACCAAAAAAGUUUGAUUCUUGGUGGCACUUUCAUUUUCCAAACCUAGGACAUUGCCC